RNAcentral lists this transfer RNA (85 nucleotides) under Methanomicrobiales archaeon. Its description in RNAcentral is "tRNA-Ser". It matches the Rfam family "tRNA". Rfam says of the family: Transfer RNA (tRNA) molecules are approximately 80 nucleotides in length. Their secondary structure includes four short double-helical elements and three loops (D, anti-codon, and T loops). Further hydrogen bonds mediate the characteristic L-shaped molecular structure. tRNAs have two regions of fundamental functional importance: the anti-codon, which is responsible for specific mRNA codon recognition, and the 3' end, to which the tRNAs corresponding amino acid is attached (by aminoacyl-tRNA synthetases). tRNAs cope with the degeneracy of the genetic code in two manners: having more than one tRNA (with a specific anti-codon) for a particular amino acid; and 'wobble' base-pairing, i.e. permitting non-standard base-pairing at the 3rd anti-codon position. Lineage: Archaea; Methanobacteriati; Methanobacteriota; Methanomicrobia; Methanomicrobiales. The record is from RNAcentral.
GCUGAGGUAGUCUAGCGGUAAGGCGCAAGCCUGGAGAGCUUGUGGGGCAUCCCGCCCCUCGGGGGUUCAAUUCCCCUCCUCAGCG